This 486-nucleotide ribosomal RNA is filed under the name uncultured bacterium. Its description in RNAcentral is "bacterial SSU rRNA". It matches the Rfam family "Bacterial small subunit ribosomal RNA", at positions 28 to 507 of the family's 1533-position model. The record is from RNAcentral.
GAUGAACGCUAGCUACAGGCUUAACACAUGCAAGUCGAGGGGCAGCGCAGUGUAGCAAUACACGGGCGGCGACCGGCGCACGGGUGCGUAACACGUAUCCAAUCUGCCCGCGGCUCGGGGAUAGCCCAUCGAAAGAUGGAUUAAUACCCGAUGGUGUGGUCACUCCGCAUGGGGUUUCCACUAAAGGUUUUCCGGCCGCGGAUGAGGAUGCGUAUGAUUAGGUAGUAGGCGGGGUAACGGCCCACCUAGCCUUCGAUCAUUAGGGGUUCUGAGAGGAAGGUCCCCCACACUGGUACUGAGACACGGACCAGACUCCUACGGGAGGCAGCAGUGAGGAAUAUUGGUCAAUGGGCGGGAGCCUGAACCAGCCAAGUCGCGUGAGGGAAGACGGCCCUACGGGUUGUAAACCUCUUUAGUCGGGGAGCAAAAAGGACCACGCGUGGUCCAUUGAGCGUACCCGAAGAAUAAGCAUCGGCUAACUCCGUG